AAAUAAUUUUUGUAGCAUAAAAGCUAAAUAAAUUCAUACAUACUGUAAUACAGAUAACCAAAGUAUAAAAUUUAAUUUACAGUGACACGUGGGCCCACGAACGACCAAAAGUAUCAAAAGAGGUAAACCUACAAUUUUUGAGGAUGCAAGUCCAACUGUAGCCCUCAACGAAAUGAGCUAUCUACCGACUAUCCUGAGCCUGAAAUGGGUGGAAAGGAGGGUGGUGAGAUUAUAUAAUCCCAAUGAGUAAACAAAUACCAUCUAAAUAUCUAAAGCUGAGUAAAUGGAGACAGAUAAAAUAAUUUAACAUAUUGUAAUUCAUCACCUUUCAGCUCAUUUCAAUCAAAUAAAAUCAAUUCAUAUAAAUCGAGUAAUCAACAUGGCUUAUGACUUUUUUAAAACUUUGGCUCGUGCCAAAAUCAUGUUUACACCUAGUUAUCAGGGAUGCCUUGAUCGAGGGCUAUCCCAAUCGAGUCCGCCAAGGCUGUUAAAAAGUUAUGUACGCAUAAAUUAUGUUUUUAUUUUGAAAACAUAAUCGUUCCUUGGCGUUGGCUGAGUUCACCCUCAUGUGGUGGUUUGGCAUGAAGUGAUCUCUAAAGUUAUACCUCGGGAGUUACCUUACUCGCCUCUCCAACCGAGGUCAAAUAUAACGGGAUUUCGUGCCCCUCUAAUAGGCUGGUCCACAGAAAACCCGCCCACUGCAGCAAGUUAAACCCACUAUACAAUAAAAUUUGCAAUAGCAUGACAUGACAAUUAUUUUAUUUUAUUUUACAGCCUUUCAAGGCAAAUCAGCAAUUUAUACAUUUUCAACACAUUUAUCAAAUCAACCAUUCAUGCCAAUAUUGCCAUAAGCCAAUCAAUUAGAAUCAUGAAUUUACAACACACAAAAACAGUCUCCAAUUACUCUAUUUUCAAACCAUCAUUCAAUUUCAAGACAAUUUAUGAAAUCUUUUCAUUAAAUCACAUUUUGUUUAUAAAACUGAAAAAUUAAUCAUUUAAUUCAUUUUUCAUAAAAUUCACAAAAUCGAAUAAAACAUACUUUAGGUAAUUAAGAUGAUGAUAAGGUUACUAACUAUUUCGGGAGUCAAAUUUCCAAAUACUCCGAUUCUUGAUCCUCGGGUACUAUCUCUUUACUUUUGCCAGAAUGCUCACCACCUAGACAUAAUGCACAAUAAGCCAUUUACUACAUUGUGCUAAAUUGUUAUAAAACCAAUUCAGGCUUUAUACUAAUGUAUGAAAUGGGAUGCAAAUUGUUCGGAUUAUCGUCUAAACACGAUGUUCUACACAAAUUCAAUUGUGUACCUAGAUAAAACGGUAUUGGCCUAAUUCGAUCUAUCACUUGAUUAACUGGCCAAUAUGUCCAAUUUAACUCCAAAUAAAUUCCAUUUUUCUCCCAAUACUCCAAAUCAUCAAACACAAGUUAAAUAACUUGAAAUAUAGCAAAAUCGUCUUCACAUUUUCUCUUGGGAAUUUCAGCCAUGGUGGGUGCAUCAACACUAUAAUUUUUCCUACUUGAUUCUCACACCAUAAAUCAUCAUUUCCUAAUCAAUUCACUUGAAAUAAAAUCAAAAUCAUCAUCAAUAUUCCACAUGGAGAAUUCGACCAAUGAUGGGUUAUGGGAGAAAAUGAAUUUUUCUUGUUUGAUUUUCAUGCUACACCUCACCAACUAACUAAAAACACUAGAAUAUCUUAAAAUCUAACCAAAACAACCAUCAAAUCUUCUCUCUCUAAAUUCGGCCAGCCAUGAAUCCUUCAUGAUAUCUUGUGAUUGAACCAUGGAAAAUGCAAAAUAAUGCAUGGGAAAGGUAGAUCACAAGUCAAAAUCAAGAAAUUUUACCUUUGAUUGCUUGAUUACUUGAAUUUUCACACUUUUCCCUUGAAUUUUUCCACCUAGGGUUUGUGUUCUUCUUUUCUUCCUUUGUUCUUG
Molecule: long non-coding RNA, 1927 nt
Filed under: Theobroma cacao (cacao)
Lineage: Eukaryota; Viridiplantae; Streptophyta; Magnoliopsida; Malvales; Malvaceae
Description: long non-coding RNA (TCAC_LNC000967)
Source: RNAcentral